Molecule: ribosomal RNA, 136 nt
Filed under: Acinetobacter baumannii
Lineage: Bacteria; Pseudomonadati; Pseudomonadota; Gammaproteobacteria; Moraxellales; Moraxellaceae
Description: partial 16S ribosomal RNA
Rfam family: Bacterial small subunit ribosomal RNA
Source: RNAcentral
UUUAACUGAAGAGUUUGAUCAUGGCUCAGAUUGAACGCUGGCGGCAGGCUUAACACAUGCAAGUCGAGCGGGGGAAGGUAGCUUGCUACUGGACCUAGCGGCGGACGGGUGAGUAAUGCUUAGGAAUCUGCCUAUU